This 253-nucleotide ribosomal RNA is filed under the name uncultured prokaryote. Its description in RNAcentral is "partial 16S ribosomal RNA". It matches the Rfam family "Bacterial small subunit ribosomal RNA", at positions 525 to 777 of the family's 1533-position model. The record is from RNAcentral.
ACGAAGGGUGCAAGCGUUAAUCGGAAUUACUGGGCGUAAAGGGUGCGUAGGCGGUUCGUUAAGUCUGUCGUGAAAUCCCCGGGCUCAACCUGGGAAUGGCGAUGGAUACUGGCGAGCUAGAGUGUGUCAGAGGAUGGUGGAAUUCCCGGUGUAGCGGUGAAAUGCGUAGAGACCGGGAGGAACAUCAGUGGCGAAGGCGGCUCACUGGCCCGGUACUGACGCUGAGGUGCGAAAGCGUGGGGAGCAAACAGGA